ACAGUUCCAACAGAGAGUUCGCCCUGCAAGCACAAUUUGGAAUGAAUUGUAGAGAGCCAGACAGAGUUGCAUAACUUUGGCAUAAGAAGAAUCGGGGGAAGACAGUUGAAGAAAAGAGAGAUGAUGGGGGCAUAGGGGGUGCUCCAAUUUUACAAGUCAGCUUUUCAACGCAUUGUUAAUAGUUUAUUAUUUUACCCCUUCAGAAAAACAAUGUAAAAAGGGAAAGAGGGUGGGG
RNAcentral lists this unclassified non-coding RNA (235 nucleotides) under Hevea brasiliensis (rubber tree). The record is from RNAcentral. Lineage: Eukaryota; Viridiplantae; Streptophyta; Magnoliopsida; Malpighiales; Euphorbiaceae.